AUGCCGCCUUUCCGUGAGUUGGAUCCAGCAUUCUCACUGCUGCUUACUAACCCUCCAUUGGCUACAAUGGUUCAUGGUACACCACAAUUGUCCGUGAACAAUGCAACUGUUUCUUCACAGCCACAAGAGAAUGUUAAUCAAGGUGGUUUAUCCAACCCACAGUUGACCCACUCUCAGGGAAGCACCGACAUUGCCCCAGGUCCUCCUCUGCCUCACCAUCUUGCUGCCCUUCAUCCUUAUGCUCAAGGAGGGCUUCCCCUUGGAUAUGAAAACAUGACCGGAUACCCAUCUUUGCCGCAAAGCUAUGCGUAUCUCCCGCCUGCUGCCUAUCAGCAAGCAUACAUGAACAGUGGUCUAUUCCACCAAGGCGCAGCUGCAGCUCCCAACUCGGGCAUAAAAUACCCAAUGCCACAAUACAGGAGCAAUGUUCCUCUUGGGAGCCUUCCACAGCCAGCCUCGAUGCUCUCCAACUACGUUGGAGGUUUCGGAACUGCAAAUGGCAUGCCUCAAAACUUUGCCCUGAACCAAAGCAAUCCGUCGGCAACCACAGCUCCUGGGUUUGAUGGAGCAAUGCCCUCCCAAUACAAGGAUGGAAACCCCUACAUGUCUCUACAGCAGGGCGAGAACCCUGCAAUGUGGAUGCAUGGAGCUGGUUCGCGAGGAAUGCCGCCUCUUGCUGCCAACCCCUUGUAUGGCUAUCAAGGGCAGCAGGGCUACCAGGGGCAGCAGGGCCACCAGGGCGGCCUUAGGCAGGGGCAGAUGCCGUCGCAGUACGGCACAACGCUCGGGCAGUCGCAGCCAGGCCUAGGACCCGAACACUGAAACCCCCGCGACGGAAACUUGAGUGCUGCCGCCGCCGCCCGGGCUAACCAAAUGUGCCUGAAUGGCUACUGA
RNAcentral lists this ribosomal RNA (894 nucleotides) under Triticum aestivum (bread wheat). RNAcentral describes it as "partial small subunit ribosomal RNA". The record is from RNAcentral. Lineage: Eukaryota; Viridiplantae; Streptophyta; Magnoliopsida; Poales; Poaceae.